GAUGUCAAUGUGUUGUAAGUUUUCACUUGUGAAAACAAUUACAUGUUCAUUCAACAGUUGAUUGAAUACUCUGUAUAAAAACGAAAAGUAAAUUAUAUAAUUUGCAGAAUUUAUGUUGCACAACUGGCAACACAAGGGAAGCUCUUGCUUUGGUUUCAUUGUAGUUUUAGAAACUGUGGGUUGAUAUUUGAUUACUGGUUAUGCAUAUUGUAUUUGGACUCUGUCAAAGAAAACUAGGUGCCGCUACAAGUUACUGGUUCUUCCAAGCAUCCGCAGUUGGUACAUCAGGCAUAAUAUUUAGAUUAGUAAGUCACCUCGAACUUAUUCGCAAAAUAAGAUUAAUGUUCAUACGAACCUCUUCCAACUAAUGAAUGUCUGCCUUGAAAUUUAGGUUUUCUUUCGAAAUAGAUUGUUUGCUUUUAUUGCCUGUCUUUGUCUCAUCUGACAUUCUCUUGGUUGUCUAGGUUGGUUCCAUUGCUGUGUUUGUAACGAGAUAUAGAGGUAUGAUCAGAGAUGCCAAAGAAGAUCUGCAACAAAGCACAAGUUAUUUCCACAAACCCAGUUUGAUUCUAAGUUUUCGCUACUCUAUGUUUGAGAACCUAAAACCAUAUAAUUAACUAUCAAAAAACCCGUCUCAUACAUACCACAUGCAGUUCCUAGAGUUUGAUGCAGCAGUUUACUGGUCUGUAGGUCCUGCAUGGAAGUAUGAAUCUAUGGCCAGCAAUGGCCAAAGAAUAUUCUCAGACUGAAAACCAUUUUUUACCUUACUGACAGAAAGCUGAAACCUCGAUGAACCAGUGUAAGUAUUGACAAUUGUGACAGGCUCUGAUUUAAAUUGGUUGUGGCUAUACUAUAUGCAAAGUAUAGCAAGGGGUUUGCAAGGUAGAAGUGAAUUCUAAUCGAACCAGUGAUUUACCAGAAAUAAUCGAAGGGAUAUUGUUGAUUUCCCUAGCUAUAUUCUGAUACAUCACUGACCGUUCAGAGUUCACCACCAUUUCUGUAUUGCAAUUUAGCAAAACAAUCUGUUUUCUG
RNAcentral lists this long non-coding RNA (1032 nucleotides) under Gossypium raimondii (Peruvian cotton). RNAcentral describes it as "long non-coding RNA (GRAI_LNC001645)". Lineage: Eukaryota; Viridiplantae; Streptophyta; Magnoliopsida; Malvales; Malvaceae. The record is from RNAcentral.